Molecule: transfer RNA, 76 nt
Filed under: Candidatus Woesearchaeota archaeon
Lineage: Archaea; Nanobdellati; Candidatus Woesearchaeota
Description: tRNA-Trp
Rfam family: tRNA
About the family: Transfer RNA (tRNA) molecules are approximately 80 nucleotides in length. Their secondary structure includes four short double-helical elements and three loops (D, anti-codon, and T loops).
Source: RNAcentral
GGGGGUGUGGUGUAAGCAGGCAGCACAGCUGGCUCCAGACCAGCUGAUCAGGGUUCAAAUCCCUGCAUCCCCACCA